UACGUAGGGUGCAAGCGUUGUCCGGAAUUAUUGGGCGUAAAGAGCUCGUAGGCGGUUUGUCGCGUCUGCUGUGAAAAUCCGAGGCUCAACCUCGGACUUGCAGUGGGUACGGGCAGACUAGAGUGCAGUAGGGGAGAAGGGAAUUCCUGGUGUAGCGGUGGAAUGCGCAGAUAUCAGGAGGAACACCGAUGGCGAAGGCACUUCUCUGGGCUGUAACUGACGCUGAGGAGCGAAAGCGUGGGGAGCGAACAGG
Molecule: ribosomal RNA, 253 nt
Filed under: uncultured bacterium
Lineage: Bacteria
Description: partial 16S ribosomal RNA
Rfam family: Bacterial small subunit ribosomal RNA
Source: RNAcentral